GGAAACUCUGUGCCAGGAGACGCGGUAAUACAGAGGGGGCGAGCUGUUAUCUGAAGUGUUGGGCGUUAAGCUGGCGUAGGUGGUUUGGUAAGCAUGUCGUGAAAGCCCUGGGCUGAACCUGGGAACUGCGAUGGAAACUGGGCGACUAGAGUGUGGUAGAGGGUAGCGGAAUUCCUGGUGUAGCAGUGAAAUGCGUAGAUAUCAGGAGGAACAUCCAUGGCGAAGGCAGCUACCUGGGCCAACACUGACACUGAGGCACGAAAGCGUGGGGAGCAAACAGGAUUAGAUACCCCAGUAGUC
RNAcentral lists this ribosomal RNA (300 nucleotides) under uncultured Pyrobaculum sp. Its description in RNAcentral is "bacterial SSU rRNA". It matches the Rfam family "Bacterial small subunit ribosomal RNA", at positions 496 to 795 of the family's 1533-position model. Lineage: Archaea; Thermoproteati; Thermoproteota; Thermoprotei; Thermoproteales; Thermoproteaceae. The record is from RNAcentral.